UUUUUAGUGCAAAUAUGUUCCAUGUAAUAUUUGGGACAUACUUAAGCUAAAA
RNAcentral lists this microRNA precursor (52 nucleotides) under Camelus bactrianus (Bactrian camel). Its description in RNAcentral is "mir-1302 microRNA precursor family". It matches the Rfam family "mir-1302 microRNA precursor family". RNAcentral also lists the same sequence under 2 other names. Lineage: Eukaryota; Metazoa; Chordata; Mammalia; Artiodactyla; Camelidae. The record is from Rfam by way of RNAcentral.